Non-coding RNA from Bemisia tabaci, 1872 nucleotides. NCBI's taxonomy places the organism in Eukaryota, Metazoa, Arthropoda, Insecta, Hemiptera, Aleyrodidae. The record is from RefSeq and is a predicted model, not a curated record.
CUCCCAGCGUAUCUCGGUCGAAGAAGAAGAACACACCCAGAAAGUAAUGUUUACAUUGAGAGCCUAACCUAAUUCUGCUGACUUUGUCCUCCCUCGUGCGUGCUAGGAGAAUGAACAUGAGGAUUUUUGAAAAUGACGAACGAACAGUUUAAUUAUUAACGCGAAACUUUUCUUUUGUUGUAUGAUCUUGAUAAUUUCUACUUUAAAGUUGCAGUUAUGUUUUCUUCAUCUGUUGUCUUGGUGGUUAAGUUGGUUAUCCUAAAAUGUGAAGUGAUGUAGUUCGUUUUUAGGCCAGUAUCUCUUGCAACGAGGAGAAGCCCUAAGAUGGCUACAAAGAGGCAGGCAGCACUAAGUCAACUUGCUAGAAUGUAAAGUAAUAUCCCUAUCUACUAGCAGCUCUCUUGGAGAGUGAAGACUUACGAUGGCUGAACAGAUUCAGUGUGCGCAAAAGAAAAGAGGUGGUAGAUGGUGCUCUAUCCAGGGUUGCUUAAGUGACUCAGUGAAGGAUCCUGACCUACAAUUUUUUAGGUUUCCGAAGGAUUUGUUGCAUUUAUCUUUGUGAUUUAUUCUGAAACUCUACCUGACAGGUUAAUUUUCUUUAAUUUGUAUGUAAAUUUUGUAUUUUUGCCCUUGCAAUGUCAUACUUAGCUACUGAAAUUCUGAAAAUACUCAGGAUUCCAUUUUUCUCGAUAAGUAACAUUUAUCCAUGGUUCAAAUAUGAUGGUUCAUGUAGUAUUAAAUGUAAAGUUUCCUAAGCUCAGAUGGAUAGUUUAUUCAGCAGGGUUACAAUUUAUUGUCAGUAGAAGAGCCAUUGAAGAUACUGCAGCGAACUUUAGAUAGUACUGGUAGUUCUGUUUUUUUAGUCAAGAAAAAGUUAGUUCCGUGCACAACUCUAUCCCCUGGUUACUUGCUGUUCGUCUGAGCGAUUAAAGUAGAUUCCUCCUUGUGAAGUAUUGUUCUCUCUCUCCAUCAUCUAUAUUAUUUCAUUAAUUACUGUAAAUGCAAGGGUAUUGAUUGACAUGGCAUCCUUCAAUUUUGUUAUGAUUAAUUUCCUUACCCCUUGUUUCUUUUUUUGUUUUGUUUUGUAGUACUAAUUUGUUUCUUGUAUGAUAAUUUUAUUGUGCUUAGUUAUCAAUAUCGUUAAAUUACCUCCUUGAAGAAUGUUGUUUGGCAUUUAAUUCUUGUUCUGUUGAAGGGACUGUUUCUUCUUGUUGAUUGUUCAUAAUAUGUCUAUGUGAAUAUUUGCCAACAAUAAAUAUAAAACACUAGGUAGCGAAGUCAGUGGCAUAGCACGGUGAGUCCAGGGGGCCUAGAUUGUUCAAGAAGAAAAUUAUUCUUAAAGGUUCUCAGGAUUUGCUUACCUAUGAACACUCCAAAUUAGUAAAUUUUGGACCUCAUACCCCUUCAUGCAAAAUUUCUCAAUACGCUGGUGAGAAGAGCUUUGUAUCAAUCAAAGAAUCUCUUUUGCAAUUAAUUUGGGUUCCUCAUCUGUAUAGGUAUACGCCUUGUUUUCUCUGCCUUCUUUUACAUGUUCACCUGUCAAGUGCGAAAUAUGCGCUGCUUGUUUUUAAGUUUCCUCCAUAAGUCAAGGUAUUAUGUUCAGCAAUAUUAAACUCACCUGCUUGGUGCCUUUAAUUCCACAAGUAACAGGUUAUCCGUUCAUUUUCUGAUUAAUUAUUUAUUAUCAUUAGCAACAUACCAUUUCUCCGCUUAGUAGAAUGACAAAACAUUUGAAAUUUAAUUUUGAUACGGAGACUGCUGAUUCUUGUUACCUACUUGUGUUCAGAUUAUUCAGUCAAAUGUUUGUACAUUUUCUUCCAUUCAGAAUUUAAUUACUUUCUAUUAAAAGCAAUGCCUUUUGAGUAUCAUUUA